RNAcentral lists this ribosomal RNA (253 nucleotides) under uncultured bacterium. RNAcentral's name for it is "partial 16S ribosomal RNA". It matches the Rfam family "Bacterial small subunit ribosomal RNA", at positions 524 to 776 of the family's 1533-position model. The record is from RNAcentral.
CACGUAGGGCGCAAGCGUUGUCCGGAAUUAUUGGGCGUAAAGAGCUCAUAGGCGGUCUGUUACGUCUGCUGUGAAAACCCGGGGCUUAACCCUGGGCUUGCAGUGGAUACGGGCAGACUAGAGGCAGGUAGGGGAGAAUGGAAUUCCCGGUGUAGCGGUGAAAUGCGCAGAUAUCGGGAGGAACACCGGUGGCGAAGGCGGUUCUCUGGGCCUGACCUGACGCUGAGGAGCGAAAGCGUGGGGAGCGAACAGG